GCAUCUGGAAAAAUAGCCUCAUGAUGGAUGAUGAUAGUUUUGAUUAUCUCAUUCACGUGUGCCUGACAGGACACCUGAUCUUGUAUGUCUGGAACAGGCAUCAGGGUUGGCCCAAAACAAAUGGCCAGAUUGUAUGGAUCCAUCAUGUUUUCAUCACUGUACUGUGAAAGGUGAUUGAGGAAGGCAAAGAGGUAUCUCAUCACUAUAAGGACCGACCUGGGCAAAGUGAGGAGGAGUUUGCGGAUGUGAAGAGCCCUCUCAUAGAGAUUGUCUAUUCUGAUACAAGAAAUAAGAUCAUUAAAUCUUUCCUUAGGAAAGACAGGAUUUUCCAGCCCUCGGAAAUAGAGCUUCAGUACUCCAGCAACUGAGUUAAUGUCAUGGUUACUUUGGUCAUCUGCCAAAGGAUUUUCACCUCUCUCAAAUGAAUUUUUAAUAUCAUUCACCUCCACCUGGGAACCAGAC
Molecule: long non-coding RNA, 462 nt
Filed under: Gallus gallus (chicken)
Lineage: Eukaryota; Metazoa; Chordata; Aves; Galliformes; Phasianidae
Source: RNAcentral